RNAcentral lists this ribosomal RNA (486 nucleotides) under uncultured bacterium. RNAcentral's name for it is "partial 16S ribosomal RNA". It matches the Rfam family "Bacterial small subunit ribosomal RNA", at positions 30 to 507 of the family's 1533-position model. The record is from RNAcentral.
AUUGAACGCUGGCGGCAUGCCUUACACAUGCGAGUCGAACGGCAGCACGGGUGCUUGCACCUGGUGGCGAGUGGCGAACGGGUGAGUAAUACAUCGGAACAUGUCCUGUAGUGGGGGAUAGCCCGGCGAAAGCCGGAUUAAUACCGCAUACGAUCUUCGGAUGAAAGCGGGGGACCUUCGGGCCUCGCGCUAUAGGGUUGGCCGAUGGCUGAUUAGCUAGUUGGUGGGGUAAAGGCCUACCAAGGCGACGAUCAGUAGCUGGUCUGAGAGGACGACCAGCCACACUGGGACUGAGACACGGCCCAGACUCCUACGGGAGGCAGCAGUGGGGAAUUUUGGACAAUGGGCGAAAGCCUGAUCCAGCAAUGCCGCGUGUGUGAAGAAGGCCUUCGGGUUGUAAAGCACUUUUGUCCGGAAAGAAAUCCUUGGCCCUAAUACGGUCGGGGGAUGACGGUACCGGAAGAAUAAGCACCGGCUAACUACGUG